UCCGGGAUCGUCUAACGGCAGGACAGGUGACUCUGGAUCAUCUAAUCGUGGUUCGAAUCCAUGUCCCGGAGCCA
This 74-nucleotide transfer RNA is filed under the name Clostridium sp. RNAcentral's name for it is "tRNA-Gln". It matches the Rfam family "tRNA". From Rfam's summary of the family: Transfer RNA (tRNA) molecules are approximately 80 nucleotides in length. Lineage: Bacteria; Bacillati; Bacillota; Clostridia; Eubacteriales; Clostridiaceae. The record is from RNAcentral. RNAcentral also lists the same sequence under 5 other names.